Long non-coding RNA from Peromyscus eremicus (cactus mouse), 1098 nucleotides. RefSeq lists it as uncharacterized. Lineage: Eukaryota; Metazoa; Chordata; Mammalia; Rodentia; Cricetidae. The transcript has 3 exons. The record is from RefSeq and is a predicted model, not a curated record.
AUAUGGACCCAGGACCUGCAUAGAAAGUUCUCAAAAGAAGAAAAAAAACAUAGCUAAGAAAUAUCUCAAUGUUUAUAACCCCUAGAAAUUAGGGAAAUUAAAUGAAAACAACUUUGAGAUUUCAUCUUACCCAAGUCUUAGAAUGGCAAAGAUCAAUGAAACAUCUGACAGAAUGCUGGAGGGGUUGCAGGGAAAGGAGAAUUCUUCCUCACUCUUGGUGGGAUUGCAAACUGGUAAAGCCACUAUGAAAAUCAGGGUGAAUCCUCAAAAAUCUAAAAAUAUCCUACCAUACAACCAAGCUGUGCCACUCCUUGGCAUCUGCCCGGAGGACUUGACAUCCUACUCCACAGAUACUUACUCAGCCAUAUUCAUUGAUGCUGUGUUCACAAUAGCUAGGAAAUGGAAACAGCCUAAAUGUCCUACGACUGAUGAAUGAAUAAUGAAAAUGUGGCCCAUAUACAUUAUGAAAUACUAUUCAUCUGUAAAGAAAAAUGAAAUAAUAAACUUUGCAAGUAAAUGAAUGGAACAUGAAAGACCAUAUUGAAUAAGGUAACCCAGACCCAGAAAGACAAAUGUUGCACCUUCUUUCUCACUGGAAGCCCCCAACUUCAAAUCUACAGAUGCUGAUGGUGUUCCCUUCAAGAGCUGAAGACUAAACUAAGACCUGACACCAGGCAUGAAAAGUCCUCUUUUGAGUUGUUGUCCAGGGCUGUCCAAGAGACUCCAAAACAUACAGCCUAUUGCUAUUGCCCAUGGCUGCCUACGUAGAGGUGGAAGAUGGAGACCACCACAGAAAACCACAACCAAUCAAUAUGCAGUUGUGGGGCCCAGUACCAAUGGAUACAUUUACACAAUACUCCGACAUCGAAAGUUCAGGAAACACUCUGGAAGAGGGGGCAAAAAGACUGUCAGGAGGAUCAGGUAGUUAUUGUGAGAUUGUGCCUCCUAGUAAUGUCAGAAAAUAUGCCCAUAAAGUAUCACCAACAGGACUGUCCAAAUGUGAGCUAAACGAGGGCGACACUAAUGGACAUGCCAAAGUGGAUGAGGAAAAGCCCACAAGGCCUCACUCAACCCUGUACAAAGAACUACAGGCAACAG